GUUUUUUGCGAUAAAAGCCAAAAAAUGAAUUUGACCCCUAUGUUCUAUUUUUAGUCAUAGCGGCCAUGUUUGUCGAUGGAUCUAAACUUCGGAUACAAUUCAUAAACAAGAUACCCUAAGGAACAUUUAGUUAAAGUUUAAAGGUAUUUGGCACCGUAGUUUCAGAGAAGAUUUUUUAAAUAGUUUACAACGACAGCCGUCGGACGACAACGGACGCCAAGUGAUGGCAUAGACUCAUAUGGGGCCCUUUGGGCCCGUUGAGUUAAAAAUGGUAUAAAUAUAAAUAAUUAAGAAAUAAACGCUAAUAUAUAAAAAAGAGAAAAAAGCAGAUAACCAAAAAGAUUAAGAGAGGGGCGAAAGAUACCAGAGGGACAUUCAAACUCAUAAAUAGAAAAUAAACUGACAACGGCAUGGCUAAAAAGGAAAAAGACAAACAGCCAAACAAUAGUAUGCAAAACACCACUUUGAAAAAUAAAGACUAAGCAACACAAACC
This 494-nucleotide long non-coding RNA is filed under the name Mytilus galloprovincialis (Mediterranean mussel). The record is from RNAcentral. Lineage: Eukaryota; Metazoa; Mollusca; Bivalvia; Mytilida; Mytilidae.